CAGAGUGAGCAGCCAGUGCUGUUAGAAGAGGGCUGAGAGCAGGGAGAGCCCUCUCUUCUGCAGCACUGACUUUUCCUCUG
RNAcentral lists this microRNA precursor (80 nucleotides) under Mus spretus (western wild mouse). RNAcentral describes it as "microRNA 1960 (ENSMSPG00010044425.1)". The record is from RNAcentral. Lineage: Eukaryota; Metazoa; Chordata; Mammalia; Rodentia; Muridae.